This 245-nucleotide ribosomal RNA is filed under the name uncultured bacterium. Its description in RNAcentral is "partial 16S ribosomal RNA". It matches the Rfam family "Bacterial small subunit ribosomal RNA", at positions 524 to 768 of the family's 1533-position model. The record is from RNAcentral.
UACGUAGGGGGCAAGCGUUGUCCGGAUUUAUUGGGCGUAAAGAGCGUGUAGGCGGUUUGGUAGGUCCGCUGUGAAAACUCGAGGCUCAACCUCGAGACGCCGGUGGAAACCAUCAGGCUAGAGUCCGGAAGAGGAGAGUGGAAUUCCUGGUGUAGCGGUGAAAUGCGCAGAUAUCAGGAAGAACACCCGUGGCUAAGGCGGCUCUCUAGUACGGUACUGACGCUGAGACGCGAAAGCGUGGAGAG